AAAGGUUUAGACAGAGGAUAAGGGGAGGAGCAGAGCAGGGGCAGUUCUAAGGAGGGUCCAGAGGCAGGGAAGGACAGCAAGCAGUGCUGGGGUGGUCCUACAAGAGGUCUCUGGUGAAGCUGGAUCUCUUCUGGAGGCCAGGUACUUGGUUAGAGGCAGAUCCCAUCUGGUGUGGGAGGGCAAACAGCAAGAGGAGACAAACCACCAUGGUAAGUAAAGGCUGGUUGUUAGCUGUAACUUGAGGAGUAGAGAUGGAAUUUGGGGAGAGCACCAUAGAAUUAUUCAGUUUAUCUCUGUCCCAUUUAAAAAAUCCACUAUACCAGGAAAAUGAUCAGUAUAGAGUCCAGGGCCUGAGCUAUUACAUGCUGACAUCACCUCCUCAAAGUCCUCAGGGAAGACUCUGGUGUCCUGGUAGGUCCAUUCUGGAUAUAGUAUAUGACAACCACUCCACGUUUCCUCAAAGAGUCAGGAGCUCACAAGUCUCGGCCAAACACUCUCUGUGGAUUCACAGACGUACCUGCUCCUCACCUGCCUGCCAACUGCCCAUCGGCGUUCUUCCACUUGUCAUGGUUCCACCAAGAGUCUGGACUUCAGCAGGACACUAGUUAUUUACAAAAACACUUAACGUGGAAGGAAGCUGGGAGUGAGGAGUGGUCGGCUGGUUGGGCUGGCAGAGCAAGGGCAGAUAGAUGGCACAAAUGAGAACCACCGCUGAAAACAGGUAAACAAGAACACAUAAAAAAAAAGAGAGCAAGAACAGGGGCAGGACCACACAGGAGGACUGUGGGGCCAUGACACUGCUCACCUUAGACUGCCACCUCCUAAACCACACCCCCUCCCAAGCUCUGCUCCAAUGCACAGAAUACUUGAGUUGUGACUGAAACCCGCCCCUUGUCAUAACUCUCUAUCACUGAGCUUUCUGUAAAUAAACCUUUUAAGGCUAUUAA
Molecule: long non-coding RNA, 947 nt
Organism: Oreochromis niloticus (Nile tilapia)
Lineage: Eukaryota; Metazoa; Chordata; Actinopteri; Cichliformes; Cichlidae
Exons: 2
Source: RefSeq, a predicted model, not a curated record